Molecule: long non-coding RNA, 560 nt
Filed under: Lathyrus oleraceus (garden pea)
Lineage: Eukaryota; Viridiplantae; Streptophyta; Magnoliopsida; Fabales; Fabaceae
Description: Pisum sativum (pea) long non-coding RNA (PSAT_LNC010799)
Source: RNAcentral
UUGAGUCCCCAAUCAGCGAGAUUCUCUCUCUCCACACUUUUCUUUUUCUGUGUGUCCGUUGGAACCAAACAGUUCUCUUUCUCUCUCCUUUCUUUGUCAAACAAACACACAGACAACACACAAACACACACUCCCUUUCAUUCUUUUUCUUCACUCUCUCCCACUCUCUCUAUCUCUUUCACACACAUUACAUUACACAACCCUUUUUCUUUUUCUUCUUCCACCGUAACAUGACCACACUCUUUACAAUCACACACCACCAUUUACGGUUAUGAAUCCCCAACCACAAACUCAACAACAACCACCACCACCACCACAACAACAACCACCUCCACCGCCACAGCUUCAACCAAACCGUCCCUCCACCUCCUGUGACAUCCACCCUCAAGAGACUUUCACAGGCUUCUGCCCUUCAUGCCUAUGCGAACGCCUCGCCGUUCUCGAUCCAAACAACAACAACAACGCCUCCUCCUCUUCCACCUCCAACCGCAAACCGCCCACUUCCUCCACUGCCGCCGCUGCACUUAAAGCCAUUUUCCGUCCUUCCACUUCCCAGCGCA